UAAAAGUCGUAACAAGGUUUCCGUAGGUGAACCUGCGAAGGAUCAUUAACAAUGAAUCUCUUCAUUAACACCGUGAACUGUCGGGAGCCAGCAAUGGCGCCCAAACCCAAACACUACAACUUUAAUCAGAGUCAAAUAACUUUUGUUAUAUAGACAACUUUUAGCAACGGAUCUCUAGGUUCUCGCAACGAUGAAGAACGCAGCGAAUUGCGAAAAGUAAUGUGAAUUGCAUAAUUCCGUGAAUCAUCAAAUCUUUGAACGCAUAUUGCGCUGCCUGGAAUUCCGGGCAGCAUGCCUGUUUGAGUAUCAGUUUCAACCAUCAAGAAUUUAUUCUUGGAAUUGAGUCGUGUUAUCAACUGACUUUAAAUACAUGGAGUGCCCUUUCCCCGGCAUACAGAGCCAGUCCUUCACGGGAAUGUCUGUCUUGCAGUCGACUUGGUAGGCCUACUAACUUUAACUUUGAUCUCAAAUCAAGCAAGAUUACCCGCUGAACUUAA
This 497-nucleotide ribosomal RNA is filed under the name uncultured fungus. Its description in RNAcentral is "eukaryotic LSU rRNA". The stretch from base 156 to 309 matches the Rfam family "5.8S ribosomal RNA". Lineage: Eukaryota; Fungi. The record is from RNAcentral.